RNAcentral lists this long non-coding RNA (493 nucleotides) under Monodelphis domestica (gray short-tailed opossum). RNAcentral describes it as "lncRNA (ENSMODG00000034847.2)". Lineage: Eukaryota; Metazoa; Chordata; Mammalia; Didelphimorphia; Didelphidae. The record is from RNAcentral.
GUUCUUUAUAACUGAGUCUGCUCAAGUCUCAUGUGUAUUGAAGCCUCAUCAGGACACAAAAGAGACCCUGAGUGUUCAGAGACCAAUCCAGAGGAACACAAGCUAAAAGAAGCUCAUCACCAGAAGAUUGGUCAACAGGGGAUAAUUUUCAUAAACACAUGAAGACUUUCUGCUAAAAUUGUUGGGAUAUUCAUUGGAAGAGAGGAAGAAAAUCCAAAGGAAAAGGAGGAGGAGGAAAAGGAAGGGACCCUGAAUGGAAUUUUUUUUUCCUCCAAACAUAUGUAUCUUUACUUUCUUGAUAUUCUAAAACCAAAUUUCAACACUGACAAAAUUUGAAAUAUUUUACUAACCACAGUUAUUCAGGAAGUUCAAGGCUUUAAUUCUAGCAAGACUAGAUUCUUAUGAAAAAAUAUAUGGCUUUACAAAAGUACAAUGUGGCUAAAAACUGGUGAAAACAAAUAAAAGCAAUCAUAAAGCUAUAUACUUAAUGUUU